This 773-nucleotide ribosomal RNA is filed under the name uncultured bacterium. RNAcentral's name for it is "bacterial SSU rRNA". It matches the Rfam family "Bacterial small subunit ribosomal RNA", at positions 8 to 798 of the family's 1533-position model. The record is from RNAcentral.
AGAGUUUGAUCCUGGCUCAGGACGAACGCUGGCGGCGUGCUUAACACAUGCAAGUCGAACGGAAAGGCCCUUCGGGGUACUCGAGUGGCGAACGGGUGAGUAACACGUGGGUGAUCUGCCCUGCACUUUGGGAUAAGCCUGGGAAACUGGGUCUAAUACCGAAUAUGACCAUGCACUUCCUGGUGUGUGGUGGAAAGCUUUUGCGGUGUGGGAUGGGCCCGCGGCCUAUCAGCUUGUUGGUGGGGUAAUGGCCUACCAAGGCGACGACGGGUAGCCGGCCUGAGAGGGUGACCGGCCACACUGGGACUGAGAUACGGCCCAGACUCCUACGGGAGGCAGCAGUGGGGAAUAUUGCACAAUGGGCGCAAGCCUGAUGCAGCGACGCCGCGUGAGGGAUGACGGCCUUCGGGUUGUAAACCUCUUUCAGCACAGACGAAGCGCAAGUGACGGUAUGUGCAGAAGAAGGACCGGCCAACUACGUGCCAGCAGCCGCGGUAAUACGUAGGGUCCGAGCGUUGUCCGGAAUUACUGGGCGUAAAGAGCUCGUAGGUGGUUUGUCGCGUUGUUCGUGAAAACUCACAGCUUAACUGUGGGCGUGCGGGCGAUACGGGCAGACUUGAGUACUGCAGGGGAGACUGGAAUUCCUGGUGUAGCGGUGGAAUGCGCAGAUAUCAGGAGGAACACCGGUGGCGAAGGCGGGUCUCUGGGCAGUAACUGACGCUGAAGAGCGAAAGCGUGGGGAGCGAACAGGAUUAGAUACCCUGGUAGUCCAA